CCCCGUCGCACGCUCUCACUGUGCCUGUAUUUUGACCCAGAUCCCCUCGCUGGGGAUGUGCCCGUUCACCACGAACAGCAUGUAGUACCCCGGUGGCGCCAGCACCGCUGUCGCCGGCAUCGUCACCGACGCGCUGAACGCGCCGGCUCGGCCGCGCACCGCCACGUUCUUGGUCACGUCAAGGAACAGCAGCCGCUGGUUCAUCGCGAACGAGUGCGUCGUGAAGGACGGCGCCACCAUCGUCACCGACACGUCACCGAGGCCGCCGGCGCGGCCGCCACGCCUUCUCCGCGCCAAUGCCGGGACCAAGAACCGGAUCGCCAUCGUCGCCCCGUAGCCCACGCUCGCGGGCGCGCCGGUGGGGGACGGGUCGAGGAUCCUCGGCCGCAGCAUGUCGUUGGACGCGUCGAGGUACUCCGGCGAGAAGGCCUCCAGGCUGAGGUCGGUGGGGAACUGCACGUUGCUGAAGUUGUAGUAGGUGUGCGGGUUGCUGCCGCCCACCAGCAGGCGGCCGUCCCGGAGGAGCACCGCCGAGGAGUGGUACAGCCGCGCGACGCCCGCCGCGUUCUGCUCCUCGAACCGGUCCCCCGGCGAGUGGUCCGGGCGGUAGACGACGGGCGCGUACGCCGGGGUCUUGGCGGACUCCCACCCGGCGGUGCCGUCCGCGGCGCCGUUGAUGAUGGCCACCUCCGCGCCGUUGGGCAGAAGGACCAUGUCGCCCAUCACCCGCGGCGACGGCAUUGUCUCGAUGACCCACGCCGGCGCGGCGUCGGUGAUCUUGAUCCGCCCGCACGUCGUCAGCGCCGGGACGAAAGCGCCGGCGGUGCCGCCCUGCUGCUGCUUGGUGGAGUUGUAGGAGCCCGCUGGCGCGCCGCCGCAGACCAGCACCUCGGCCUCGGUGGGGUUGGGCUUCAGCGGGAGCAGCACCGAGGAGCCCGAGCUGGGGUAGUUCCGCGGGUCGCCGUCGCCCAGCACGGGGUACGUCCGCACGAUCUUGUUGCUGCUGUAGUCCAAGAGGACGGCGCGGUUGUUGGAGAAGAUGAAAAGGUUGCCGUCUAUGUUGAGGUGCACGAACGGAUAAAGGUUGUUCUCCUCGGGGUCCCUCGUCUGCACCAGAAAUGGCAUCGGGAUGACGGACGUAUCCGAAGGGCCCGCCUUUGGGUAGAACUCGUAGCUGAACUGCCUCCGGCCGCCGAUGAUGAACGCGCGGCCGUCGGGGAGGAUCUGGUUGGUGGCGUACCACCGGUUGGCCGAGAGCGCGUCCUGCGUCUCGGACCAGUCGCAGCUCUCGUCGCCGUCGCUGCACGCGGGCAUGGUGCGCGCGUUGCGGAACCCGUCGUUCCAGCCGCCGGUCUGGACGAGCGUGCCGUCGGGCGCGACGGUGCCCGAGGAGCACCAGGUGUCGGUGAAGACGAAGAGCGGGCGGAACGCGUUGGCGGCGACGUCGUACUCGACGGAGUGCGCGGUGCAGUCCCCCUGAGGGAGCACGCGCUCCCGCGGGUUGACGCGGCAGCGUCCGUCGGGGAGGGAGAGGUUGGAGUGGCCGAAGUCGGUGCGGUCGAAGAUGAUGACGCGGUCGUUGUGCAGGAGCUGCAUGUGCAUCGCCGACACCCCGAUGCUGCGCUGCUGGAGGUCCCACCUCCCGCCGGCGCCGCUCGCGGGCGCAAUGCCGGCGCAGGCGCAGGCGAGGAGCAGGAGAAGAACGGCGAGGUGGCGACGGGCACGGUUCUUCUUCUUGGCUGCCAAUGCAAUCUCCAUGGUUGAUCGAUCGAUGGGACAGGCACAGGCUUGUAGACGUAACGAUGUUGCGUCGUCGUUUCAGGGACAGGUUUUCUUUGAUUCCGUUUUCUUGGUUAAGUGGGGGUGUUUAGCUCGUUGAGCGGCGAAGUGUAUAUAUAUGCGGCAGUGCCCAAGCUUCGACCACCAUUUUUGCUCCCUGAUUUUUCACACGAUAUCAUUUAAACACUCCAGCUAGCUGGCGCCUUUACAAUGGAAUUUCGUUCCGCUCGAGUGAGCUUUGGCCAGUUUUUGGGUAUGUAUUCAUGAGUCGACGAGCACAACAACCAGACCGGCAAUUUGGCGCACGUACACGUUCGAUCGAUCCCGUGCGUCGUUCGAUCCCGUUUCGUGUACUUACUUCCCUGCUGACCCAUACAAGACCAGGAAGGAGCACGGCAUGAUGUGGUUGCUGCCUUAUCCACCAUGUUGGCUUGUCCCUCCGGCCCGCAGC
This 2230-nucleotide unclassified non-coding RNA is filed under the name Zea mays. RNAcentral describes it as "misc RNA Zm00001eb011260". The record is from RNAcentral. Lineage: Eukaryota; Viridiplantae; Streptophyta; Magnoliopsida; Poales; Poaceae.